RNAcentral lists this ribosomal RNA (393 nucleotides) under uncultured archaeon. Its description in RNAcentral is "bacterial SSU rRNA". It matches the Rfam family "Archaeal small subunit ribosomal RNA", at positions 331 to 721 of the family's 1478-position model. The record is from RNAcentral.
UGCAGCAGGCGCGAAACCUUUUACACUGCACGACAGUGCGAUAAGGGGACUCCGAGUGCGAGGGCAUAGAGCCCUCGCUUUUGUACACCGUAAGGAGGUGCACGAAUAAGGGCUGGGCAAGACCGGUGCCAGCCGCCGCGGUAAUACCGGCAGCCCGAGUGAUGGCCGAUAUUAUUGGGCCUAAAGCGUCCGUAGCUGGCCGGACAAGUCCGUUGGGAAAUCCACCCGCUCAACGGGCGGGCGUCCGGCGGAAACUGUUUGGCUUGGGACCGGAAGACCCGAGGGGUACGUCCGGGGUAGGAGUGAAAUCCUGUAAUCCUGGACGGACCCCCGAGGGGGAAAGCACCUCGGAAGAAAGGAUCUGACAGAGAGGGCUCAAACCCCGGGUCCGCG